AUUGAACGCUGGCGGCAGGCCUAACACAUGCAAGUCGGGCGGAGCGGCGGACGGGUGAGUAAUGUAUGGGGAUCUGCCUGCUGGAGGGGGAUAACGUCCGGAAACGGGCGCUAAUACCGCAUACUAUCAGAUGAGCCUAGGUCGGAUUAGCUAGUUGGUGGGGUAAAGGCCUACCAAGGCGACGAUCCGUAACUGGUCUGAGAGGGUGAUCAGUCAAACUGGAAAAGAGACACGGUCCAGAAUCCUAAGGGAGGCAGCAGUGGGGAAUAUUGGACAAUGGGCGAAAGCCUGAUCCAGCCAUGCCGCGUGUGUGAAGAAGGUCUUCAGAUUGUAAAGCACUUUAAGUUGGGAGGCGUUACCAACAGAAUAGGCAACGGCUAACUUCGUGCCAGCAGCCGCGGUAAUAC
This 407-nucleotide ribosomal RNA is filed under the name uncultured bacterium. Its description in RNAcentral is "partial 16S ribosomal RNA". It matches the Rfam family "Bacterial small subunit ribosomal RNA", at positions 30 to 526 of the family's 1533-position model. The record is from RNAcentral.